Girardinichthys multiradiatus is the source of this 592-nucleotide long non-coding RNA. RefSeq lists it as uncharacterized. Lineage: Eukaryota; Metazoa; Chordata; Actinopteri; Cyprinodontiformes; Goodeidae. The record is from RefSeq and is a predicted model, not a curated record. The transcript has 3 exons.
CAGAGACAGACCUGGACAUGGAUCUCCGGCUGUUGAUAGUGCUGCUGCCACUGCUCUGGGGCUCAGAGCUGAAGGCUGAAGGAAACUACAGCCCAGCAGCUGUGGAAACCCUGGAUUCAAAGUCUCUGCCCCUACACCUCUCCGCCUGACCCGCCCCAUGUCACUCUCUUCUACGACCGUUGUCACACAGAAUGGUACCAGAUUUGUUUAAUGAAACAGUAGAAGGUAGGACAUGAUUUAUUUCAUCCAAAAAUAUUUGUGUGGCUCCUGAGGGUGUGGCUGCAACAGUUGAUUUAACACCUGACCAAGCCGAAUGGUAUUUAGUGUCAGAUGAAGCUGUUCCUCAUGUUUCUCUUUCUUUGCAUCCUGAGCAUCAAGCUAAGGAAUUGGGAGGAGUGGUAAAGCACUCUCUGGCAGCUGGGGACUGGCAGGACAUCUCAGUCACAUACUUAAGUUUGGUUACAGAGUUCUCAAAACAGGUUCCAGAGAAACCAACCGAGGGACCCCAGCCAACCACGUCCGAAGCUGAGUGGGUCCUGCUGACGGUGAUCAAAAGGAAGUGGUCAGAACCCAGGUGGACCGGUCCAUUCCA